This 397-nucleotide long non-coding RNA is filed under the name Phoenix dactylifera (date palm). RNAcentral describes it as "long non-coding RNA (PDAC_LNC022573)". The record is from RNAcentral. Lineage: Eukaryota; Viridiplantae; Streptophyta; Magnoliopsida; Arecales; Arecaceae.
AAAGAGGGAAGCAUUUGGAUGACACUAGACUUAAUUUCAAAAUGUGCAGCAGCGGUGGUAUCAGGUAGUCGAAUACAAGAUGGAGAGAUAUAAAUGGAAGGAGUGAAGUACUCCUUUAGGAGUUUGGAUUGUUCUUCAGCCAUCUCUAUAAGUGGAGCAGAUCCUAUGGUUCUAUAGGUGCGGAUUUCAGCUCGAAGGUCCCUAAUAGAACGCUCUAUUUCAGAGUCAAAAGGUACUAAUUUGGGAGAUUUGGAACGACACCCUAGCAUACACUAAGACUCCUCUGAUCAGUACAGUCAAGCAUGCACUAAAAAGAAAAACACAAUUCCUUAUGUUCACCCUAAAAUCACUAGACAGCUUCUAACUGGUUUGAAGAGGGCACCUAAGCCUCCAAUCC